Molecule: small RNA, 29 nt
Filed under: Bombyx mori (domestic silkworm)
Lineage: Eukaryota; Metazoa; Arthropoda; Insecta; Lepidoptera; Bombycidae
Description: ovarian small RNA-34024
Source: RNAcentral
UGCGUUCCAGCAGCUUGCCCACCUCAUCC